Molecule: long non-coding RNA, 313 nt
Organism: Physella acuta
Lineage: Eukaryota; Metazoa; Mollusca; Gastropoda; Physidae
Source: RefSeq, a predicted model, not a curated record
GUUUAGACUGGGACAACAGGACCAUAUUUGAGUACACUGUAACGCUCACGUUGAUGGAUGUGACGACGCGUGACUUGAGGCCGAUCACCAUCAAACUGGGAUCAAACUACGACUACUACAAUAAUUAUAUCAAUCAUACGCUUGAGUCCAUCAGUACUAAUGAGACAAGGUUUUCUGACGUCCGUGUCCAACACGUUAUUCUGAUGAGUGUUGUUCCUUCUUCGAUCCUGAUAGUACUCACAGCAACCGUUCUCAUAGUCUACAAACAUAGAGGGGGUUCUGUUAAAACCCGAAAUGAACCAACAUCAACUAG